CCUACGGGUGACAGCAGUGAGGAAUAUUGGUCAAUGGACGAGAGUCUGAACCAGCCAAGUAGCGUGAAGGAUGACUGCCCUAUGGGUUGUAAACUUCUUUUAUAUGGGAAUAAAAUGUUCCACGUGUGGGAUUUUGUAUGUACCAUAUGAAUAAGGAUCGGCUAACUCCGUGCCAGCAGCCGCGGUAAUACGGAGGAUCCGAGCGUUAUCCGGAUUUAUUGGGUUUAAAGGGAGCGUAGGUGGAUUGUUAAGUCAGUUGUGAAAGUUUGCGGCUCAACCGUACAAUUGCAGUUGAAACUGGCAGUCUUGAGUACAGUAGAGGUGUGCGGAAUUCGUGGUGUAGCGGUGAAAUGCUUAGAUAUCACGAAGAACUCCGAUUGCGAAGGCAGUUCACUGGACUGCAACUGACACUGAGGCUCGAAAGUGUGGGUAUCAAACAGGAUUAGAUACCCGUGUAGUC
Molecule: ribosomal RNA, 460 nt
Filed under: uncultured bacterium
Lineage: Bacteria
Description: partial 16S ribosomal RNA
Rfam family: Bacterial small subunit ribosomal RNA
Source: RNAcentral